AGAGUUUGAUCCUGGCUCAGGACGAACGCUGGCGGCGUGCUUAACACAUGCAAGUCGAACGGUGACCCGGUGCUUGCACCGGUGAUCAGUGGCGAACGGGUGAGUAACACGUGAGUAACCUGCCCCCGACUCUGGGAUAACCCCGGGAAAUCGGAGCUGAUACCGGAUACGAGACGCACAGGCAUCUGUGGCGUCUGGAAAGAAUUUCGGUCGGGGAUGGACUCGCGGCCUAUCAGCUAGUUGGUGGGGUAACGGCCCACCAAGGCGACGACGGGUAGCCGGCCUGAGAGGGCGACCGGCCACACUGGGACUGAGACACGGCCCAGACUCCUACGGGAGGCAGCAGUGGGGAAUAUUGCACAAUGGGCGAAAGCCUGAUGCAGCGACGCCGCGUGGGGGAUGAAGGCCUUCGGGUUGUAAACCCCUUUCAGCAGGGAAGAAGCGAAAGUGACGGUACCUGCAGAAGAAGCGCCGGCUAACUACGUGCCAGCAGCCGCGGUAAUACGUAGGGCGCAAGCGUUGUCCGGAAUUAUUGGGCGUAAAGAGCUCGUAGGUGGUUUGUCGCGUCCGCUGUGAAAACCCGAGGCUCAACCUCGGGCCUGCAGUGGGUACGGGCAGACUAGAGUGCGGUAGGGGAGACUGGAAUUCCUGGUGUAGCGGUGGAAUGCGCAGAUAUCAGGAGGAACACCGAUGGCGAAGGCAGGUCUCUGGGCCGCAACUGACACUGAGGAGCGAAAGCAUGGGGAGCGAACAGGAUUAGAUACCCUGGUAGUCCAUGCCGUAAACGUUGGGCACUAGGU
This 800-nucleotide ribosomal RNA is filed under the name uncultured bacterium. Its description in RNAcentral is "bacterial SSU rRNA". It matches the Rfam family "Bacterial small subunit ribosomal RNA", at positions 8 to 821 of the family's 1533-position model. The record is from RNAcentral.